UAGGGAAUCUUCCACAAUGGGCGAAAGCCUGAUGGAGCAACGCCGCGUGUGUGAUGAAGGGUUUCGGCUCGUAAAACACUGUUGUAAGAGAAGAAUGACAUUGAGAGUAACUGUUCAAUGUGUGACGGUAUCUUACCAGAAAGGAACGGCUAAGUACGUGCCAC
This 164-nucleotide ribosomal RNA is filed under the name uncultured bacterium. Its description in RNAcentral is "partial 16S rRNA". It matches the Rfam family "Bacterial small subunit ribosomal RNA", at positions 355 to 511 of the family's 1533-position model. The record is from RNAcentral.